AUUUGCAUUUAGCCAUUUUUCAUUAGUACCUUUUGUGGUGGCGAAUUGGUAAAAAAAAAAGUUAAUAAAAAAAUGACUUGGUACAUUAUCCUACUGUGGGAGUAAAAAAAAACGUGAAUAACGACAAUGCAUUUGCGUGGUUCUUCUCUUCCACAGCUUGCAAAAAUUCCUUCCUGGUAACUAAGGAGUGGUAGUUGCAGACGGGCAAUCAAAUAACGAUCGAAGUGGUUUUUCCACGGCAUUGCCAAGGAGAGAAGUAGAGUGAGAGGGUGCAGAACCACCGUUAGAGUAGAGAGUUUCAAGACGAUGGGGGAAAGAGGACCGAGCUACGAAAACUUGCCUGUGCUCUUGCUGGUUACCACCCGUACACGCCGGAAUAAAUCCUAAGGCGCCUAAAAAGCAUCGGUAAAAAAUAAGAAUAACAAUAACAAUAAUAAUAAUAGCAACAGUAAUAAUAAAAAUAAAAAAAGAAAAGUAGAAAAGAGCAGCGAGGGGGUGGGAAGUCGCGUGGUAAAGUAGGCGCUAGCAUACUGGCGUCAUUGCAGAAGAAGUCAACUAUAUGCAUAUGUGUAUGUAGUUUUACAACAAUCCCGUUCUCUCUCAUACAUUUCGAUAAUACCAAGCAAAACGAUAGUACGUAAAAGUUUUUCGAAGCGGUGUUAUUGCCUCCCCACUUGCCAAUCGCUUUCAAUUCACCAUUCGAAGCGUGAAAGACAACCAGUGAAACAAAAUAAAAUAAUAAAAACUAAAAAGAUAAACAUCGCUCCGAGGUUACCGGCAUUUUACGUUAUCCAUAAAUUCAAACGCCAUUAUUGUUAUCUUAUAUUUUACUCCGUAUUAUCAUAAUGUAGUUGUAGAGUAAUGCCAGAGUAUUUCGUCCGUGGAUCUAGGGAAUGUAAAUUAAAUGUUGACUGUUAAAAGGGGAGUAAUUCAUAUGACAAUACCUGUAAAAUGCAACAACCAGAAAUCAAUGAAAAUGUCUCCAUUCUCCUUAGCCACAUCCGAUUAAUGCGGCGAUCUUGAUGUCGAGUUGAGUCAGCUUUCACAGCAAAUCGUCCGCGGGUAUGAUGGCCUUUGAUGUCGUUUCAUCUCCUGUAUAUUCUAUUAGUUUUUCAACGUCUGGCAAAUGAACCCAAGACUUUUCUUAUACACACAAAGCCAUAGUUUAUUUGGUAAAUAACAACACAGCCAGCUAUUUUUAUUGAAUUCACAUACAUCGGCACAGGUAUGGAAAUAGACGUGGGAAAAACAAUUUCAAAAAAGUCCCGCAAUGAUAACUGGGGUUGGUAAAUCCUCAAAAAUAAAUUCACAUGGCAAUUUAUUAUAUACGAGUAAUAAAGACUGAAGUUCUGUGAUGCAAAGAGAUUAAAUUUGGCAUGGAU
This is a long non-coding RNA of Microplitis demolitor, 1382 nucleotides long. RefSeq lists it as uncharacterized. The transcript has 5 exons. Lineage: Eukaryota; Metazoa; Arthropoda; Insecta; Hymenoptera; Braconidae. The record is from RefSeq and is a predicted model, not a curated record.